Non-coding RNA from Pelodiscus sinensis (Chinese soft-shelled turtle), 651 nucleotides. Lineage: Eukaryota; Metazoa; Chordata; Testudines; Trionychidae. The record is from RefSeq and is a predicted model, not a curated record.
CAUCCCGUUUGUCCUAGGUCUUUCUCUUCACUGCUGUCAUUUCCUAUCAUCUCACACCAGCUCAGUGUGUGGCGCACGAACACCAGGAACCUUUGGAUAGCAGGAGGGUUACAGGGUACCUAGAGGCAGAGGGAUGUGUCGUAGGCACCCGGUGCUAGAAUCCACCGGGAGCUUCAUGCAAUUGUGGUGACUCUGGGAGAGACUCCGGACUGUGCCACCCACAAACCCAUCUCUCGUGACAGAUAGGAAUGUCGCCGUCGGUGGCUUUCAUUAAAAAAACAAAACAAACCCUAAGAAGCUGAAAGGUUGCAGUUGUGGUUUUUCUAUUCUGCUUGCUGAGAGUUGAACUCACGUGAGACUGAUGGGCAGAAGCCAGCGCCAAGCGGUGCACGGCAGCAGAGGGUGACAGGCGGCGGUGGAGAGGUGGUGCAACGAGUGGCCGGCAGCAGCAGGCAGAUGACGCGUGUCCAGCAGAGAUCCAUGUCCAUGGUCUGUAGACAGCAAGUGCAUCAUCCCGACAGUCAGCACAACUGGGCCUUCACACCGCUCCAGGAAGCUUUCCAGCGUCUCACCCGAUGGUCUCCAAGGAAUCCGAAGGAGAAAAUAAGCUUGGAUCCCAAAGAUCACGUCAAGGCAAUACCACCCCACGGG